RNAcentral lists this ribosomal RNA (421 nucleotides) under uncultured eukaryote. RNAcentral's name for it is "bacterial SSU rRNA". It matches the Rfam family "Eukaryotic small subunit ribosomal RNA", at positions 592 to 1018 of the family's 1831-position model. The record is from RNAcentral.
CAAUAGCGUAUAUUAAAGUUGUUGCGGUUAAAAGCUCGUAGUUGGAGUUCUGCCAGGUGCCGUCUGUCCGCCCCAGUGGUGAGUACGUGACGCGCAUUUGGCCCUUUCAAGGGGAGCGUAUCUGCACUUUACUGUGUGGUGCGGGAUCCUUGACUUUUACUUUGAGGAAAUAGGAGUGUUCCAAGCAGGCUCUCGUCGUGCACAGCUCAGCAUGGAAUAAUAGCAUUGGACCUCGAUUCUAAGCUGUUGGUUGCCAGAAGCGAGGUAAUGAUGAAGAGGGAUAGUUGGGGGCAUUCGUAUUUCGUUGUCAGAGGUGAAAUUCUUGGAUUUACGAAAGACGAACAACUGCGAAAGCACUUGCCAAGAGUGUUUUCAUUAAUCAAGAACGAAAGUUAGAGGAUCGAAGAUGAUUAGAUACCGU